AGGACAAGCAUCCCCAUUUCCACCGUUUUUCUUGAGAUGGAAUUAAGUGACUCGCGGACUCAGUUAAAUCUAUAGGCAACUUGUACAUUAUCUCCUCAUAGAACUUGUAAGUAGAUUUCAGGAAAAAUCAUGACAAAUGCUCCUUUUUUUCCUCAGAGAACCACAGUUUGUUACUUUGAUUUGAUUUCAUGAAUUUGCCUUUUGGCCGAUGUUUUGUUUGUUGCACAAAUAAGAACUAAUGUGGGAAUUGUGUAUA
Molecule: long non-coding RNA, 256 nt
Organism: Hibiscus syriacus
Lineage: Eukaryota; Viridiplantae; Streptophyta; Magnoliopsida; Malvales; Malvaceae
Exons: 2
Source: RefSeq, a predicted model, not a curated record